This 454-nucleotide ribosomal RNA is filed under the name uncultured Porphyromonadaceae bacterium. RNAcentral's name for it is "partial 16S ribosomal RNA". It matches the Rfam family "Bacterial small subunit ribosomal RNA", at positions 341 to 792 of the family's 1533-position model. The record is from RNAcentral. Lineage: Bacteria; Pseudomonadati; Bacteroidota; Bacteroidia; Bacteroidales; Porphyromonadaceae.
ACGGAAGGCAGCAGUGAGGAAUAUUGGUCAAUGGUCGGAAGACUGAACCAGCCAAGUCGCGUGCAGGAAGACGGUCCUAUGGAUUGUAAACUGCUUUUGUACGGGAAUAAAGUGGGGGACGUGUCCCCUUUGGAAUGUACCGUAAGAAUAAGGGUCGGCUAACUCCGUGCCAGCAGCCGCGGUAAUACGGAGGACCCGAGCGUUAUCCGGAUUUAUUGGGUUUAAAGGGUGCGCAGGCGGAGGAUUAAGUCAGCGGUUAAAUUCGCAUGCUCAACAUGAGAACUGCCAUUGAUACUGGUCCCCUUGAGAGAUGUCGAGGAUUGCGGAAUGUGAUGUGUAGCGGCGAAAUGCUUAGAUAUGUCACAGAACACCGAUUGCGAAGGCAGCUGUCCAGAGAGCUUCUGACGCUCAGGCACGAAAGCAUGGGUAUCAAACAGGAUUAGAUACCCUGGUA